This 440-nucleotide ribosomal RNA is filed under the name uncultured bacterium. Its description in RNAcentral is "partial 16S ribosomal RNA". It matches the Rfam family "Bacterial small subunit ribosomal RNA", at positions 338 to 795 of the family's 1533-position model. The record is from RNAcentral.
CCUACGGGCGGCAGCAGUGGGGAAUAUUGGACAAUGGGCGGAAGCCUGAUGCAGCGACGCCGCGUGAGGGACGAAGUAUUUCGGGCUGUAAACCUCUAUCGUCAGGGAAGAAAAUGACGGAACCUGACUAAGAAGCCCCUGCCAACUACGUAACAGCAGCCGCGGUAAUACGGAGGGGGCGAGCGUUAGCCGGAUUUACUGGGUGUAAGGGGAGUGUAGACGGUUGUGAAAGUCUGAUGUGAAAGCCCAAGGCUCAACCAGGGGACUGCAUUUGAGACUGCAUAACUGGAGUGCAGGAGAGGUAAGAGGAAUGUCUAGUGUAGCGGUGAAAUGCGUAGAUAUUAGGAAGAACACCAGUGGCGAAGGCGGCUUACUGGACCGCAACUGACGUUGAUGCACGAAGGCGUGGGGAGCAAACAGGAUUAGAUACCCGAGUAGUC